RNAcentral lists this ribosomal RNA (452 nucleotides) under uncultured bacterium. RNAcentral's name for it is "partial 16S ribosomal RNA". It matches the Rfam family "Bacterial small subunit ribosomal RNA", at positions 28 to 507 of the family's 1533-position model. The record is from RNAcentral.
GAUGAACGCUGGUGGCGUGCCUAACACAUGCAAGUCGAGCGAUUCUCUUCGGAGAAGAGCGGCGGACGGGUGAGUAACGCGUGGGUAACCUGCCCUGUACACACGGAUAACAUACCGAAAGGUAUGCUAAUACGAGAUAACAUGCUUUUAUCGCAUGGUAGAAGUAUCAAAGCUUUUGCGGUACAGGAUGGACCCGCGUCUGAUUAGCUAGUUGGUGAGGUAACGGCUCACCAAGGCGACGAUCAGUAGCCGACCUGAGAGGGUGAUCGGCCACAUUGGAACUGAGACACGGUCCAAACUCCUACGGGAGGCAGCAGUGGGGAAUAUUGCACAAUGGGCGAAAGCCUGAUGCAGCAACGCCGCGUGAGGGAUGAAGGCCUUCGGGUCGUAAAGCUCUGUCCUCAAGGAAGAUAAUGACGGUACUUGAGGAGGAAGCCCCGGCUAACUACGUG